UCCUAACGGUUCCACUUUUCCUAUAAAUACCCCCCCCCUUUUGUGUAAAAACCCACAAAUCAGAUCUAAAUGCUCUAAGUUGAUGCUUUUGCUUCAUACCUGAGCUAUUGGAUCUUGAUUAGCACUCGGGGACCCUCCCCUAUGGUGCCGUUGAUAUUCCGUGACCUCUCGCAUUUACCCGGUUAUUUCACAAGAACAACAAAGCAACCUCAGGUGAGUACAUAG
RNAcentral lists this long non-coding RNA (225 nucleotides) under Helianthus annuus (common sunflower). RNAcentral describes it as "sRNA HanXRQr2_Chr04g0164731". Lineage: Eukaryota; Viridiplantae; Streptophyta; Magnoliopsida; Asterales; Asteraceae. The record is from RNAcentral.